This 253-nucleotide ribosomal RNA is filed under the name uncultured bacterium. RNAcentral describes it as "partial 16S ribosomal RNA". It matches the Rfam family "Bacterial small subunit ribosomal RNA", at positions 524 to 776 of the family's 1533-position model. The record is from RNAcentral.
UGCGGAGGAUGCGAGCGUUGUCCGGAUUUACUGGGCGUAAAGGGAGCGUAGGCGGAUUUUUAAGUGAGAUGUGAAAUACUCGGGCUCAACUUGAGUGCUGCAUUUCAAACUGGAAGUCUAGAGUGCAGGAGAGGAGAAUGGAAUUCCUAGUGUAGCGGUGAAAUGCGUAGAGAUUAGGAAGAACACCAGUGGCGAAGGCGAUUCUCUGGACUGUAACUGACGCUGAGGCUCGAAAGCGUGGGGAGCAAACAGG